GAGGAUAAUAAAGCCCCCUUUAAG
RNAcentral lists this ribosomal RNA (24 nucleotides) under Pelecanus crispus (Dalmatian pelican). RNAcentral describes it as "partial 12S ribosomal RNA". The record is from RNAcentral. Lineage: Eukaryota; Metazoa; Chordata; Aves; Pelecaniformes; Pelecanidae.